GGGGUAAGUUCCGACCUGCACGAAAGGCGUAACGAUUUGGAUACUGUCUCGGAGAGAGGCUCGGCGAAAUAGACUUGUCUGUGAAGAUGCGGACUACCUGCACCUGGACAGAAAGACCCUAUGAAGCUUUACUGUAACUUGGAAUUGACUUUAAACUUUAUUUGCGUAGGAUAGGUGGGAGGCUGAGAAGAAAAUCUUCUGGGGUUUUUGGAGCCGUCCUUGAAAUACCACCCUAAUAAUGUGAGAAUUCUAACUUUUCACUGUAAACCAGUUGAAGGACAUUUCCAGGCGGUCAGUUUGACUGGGGCGGUCGCCUCCCAAAGAGUAACGGAGGCGCGCGAAGGUUGGCUCAGAGCGGUCGGAAAUCGCUCGUUGAGUGCAAUGGCAGAAGCCAGCCUGACUGCAAGACUGACACGUCGAGCAGAGUCGAAAGACGGCCAUAGUGAUCCGGUGGUCCCGAGUGGAAGGGCCAUCGCUCAACGGAUAAAAGGUACGCUGGGGAUAACAGGCUGAUGAUGCCCAAGAGUCCAUAUCGACGGCAUCGUUUGGCACCUCGAUGUCGGCUCAUCUCAUCCUGGGGCUGAAGCAGGUCCCAAGGGUAUGGCUGUUCGCCAUUUAAAGAGGUACGUGAGCUGGGUUUAGAACGUCGUGAGACAGUUCGGUCCCUAUCUGCCAUGGGCGUUGGAGAUUUGAGAGGGGCUGCUCCUAGUACGAGAGGACCGGAGUGGACGAACCUCUGGUGUUCCGGUUGUCACGCCAGUGGCAUUGCCGGGUAGCUAUGUUCGGAAGCGAUAACCGCUGAAAGCAUCUAAGCGGGAAGCGCGCCUCAAGAUGAGAUCUCCCGGGACACAAGUCCCCUAAAGGAACCAUCAAGACUAGGUGGUUGAUAGGUCAGGUGUGUAAGCGCAGCAAUGCGUUGAGCUAACUGAUACUAAUGAUCCGUGUGGCUUGAC
Molecule: ribosomal RNA, 953 nt
Filed under: uncultured eukaryote
Lineage: Eukaryota
Description: partial Bacterial large subunit ribosomal RNA
Rfam family: Bacterial large subunit ribosomal RNA
Source: RNAcentral